UACGUAGGGUGCAAGCGUUAAUCGGAAUUACUGGGCGUAAAGCGUGCGCAGGCGGUGAUGUAAGACAGUUGUGAAAUCCCCGGGCUCAACCUGGGAACUGCAUCUGUGACUGCAUCGCUGGAGUGCGGCAGAGGGGGAUGGAAUUCCGCGUGUAGCAGUGAAAUGCGUAGAUAUGCGGAGGAACACCGAUGGCGAAGGCAAUCCCCUGGGCCACAACUGACGCUGAGGAGCGAAAGCGUGGGGAGCGAACAGG
RNAcentral lists this ribosomal RNA (253 nucleotides) under uncultured bacterium. RNAcentral's name for it is "partial 16S ribosomal RNA". It matches the Rfam family "Bacterial small subunit ribosomal RNA", at positions 524 to 776 of the family's 1533-position model. The record is from RNAcentral.